RNAcentral lists this ribosomal RNA (610 nucleotides) under uncultured bacterium. RNAcentral's name for it is "bacterial SSU rRNA". It matches the Rfam family "Bacterial small subunit ribosomal RNA", at positions 372 to 999 of the family's 1533-position model. The record is from RNAcentral.
UAGGGAACCUGACGCUUCACGCCGCGUGAGUGAUGAAGGCCUUCGGGUUGUAAAGCUCUUUUAGCAGGAACGAAUCAAGUGACGGUACCUGCAGAAAAAGCACCGGCUAACUCCGUGCCAGCAGCCGCGGUAAUACGGAGGGUGUAAGCGUUAUUCGGAUUGACUGGGCGUAAAGCGCAUGUAGGUGGUCUUUUAAGUCUGAUGUGAAAUCCCUGAACUCAAUUUAGGAAGUGCAUUGGAUACUGGGAGACUGGAGUAUCGGAGGGGAGAGCGGAAUUCCUGGUGUAGAGGUGAAAUUCGUAGAUAUCAGGAGGAACAACGGUGGCGAAGGCGGCUUUCUGGACGAUAACUGACACUGAGAUGCGAAAGCGUGGGGAGCAAACAGGAUUAGAUACCCUGGUAGUCCACGCUGUAAACGAUGGAUACUAGAUGUCGGGAGUUCUUACCCUUUCGGUGUCGUAGCUAACGCGAUAAGUAUCCCGCCUGAAGAUUACGGUCGCAAGAUUAAAACUCAAAGAAAUUGACGGGGGCCCGCACAAGCGGUGGAGUAUGUUGUUUAAUUCGAUGCAACGCGAAANAACUUACCUAGGCUUGACAUCCCGGGCAAUCC